CGCAUCUGUGCAUGCAGCAUAUCAAUAAGCGGGGGAAAAGCAUAACAUGUAUACCUACGCUUAGGAUGUUGACGAGACUGUCGAUCUCAUCUAUACAUGACUCUGUGCAUAUCAAUAAGCGGAGGAAAAGAGGGCUAUUACCUACGCUUAGGAUGUUGACGCGCGUGUGUGCGUGAGUCUAUACAUGACUCUGCGCAUAUCAAUAAGCGGAGGAAAAGGGUACCUACGCUUAGGAUGUUGACGCGCGUGUGUGCGUGAUCUAUACAUGACUCUGUGCAUAUCAAUAAGCGGAGGAAAAGAAACUAACAAGGAUUCCCUUAGUAACGGCGAGUGAAGCGGGAAGAGCUCAAAUUUGAAAUCUUCAAGGUUUUACCUUGACGAAUUGUAGUUUAAAGAAGUGUUUUCUGUUGAAGUUUUGGUAAAAGUUCUUUGGAAUAGGACAUCAUAGAGGGUGAGAAUCCCGUAUUUGACCAUUAUUUUCAGCUGUGUGAUACACUUUCAAAGAGUCGGAUUGUUUGGGAAUGCAGUCCAAAAUGGGUGGUAAAUUUCAUCUAAAGCUAAAUAUUGGCGAGAGACCGAUAGCGAACAAGUACCGUGAGGGAAAGAUGAAAAGAACUUUGAAAAGAGAGUUAAACAGUACGUGAAAUUGUCAAAAGGGAAGCGUUUGACACCAGUGUUGUUUUCUCGAAAAUCAAUUAAAAAGAGUUAGAUUUUGUUGUGUAUUGACCUUAACAGCUUGCAUUCAAUCUUUUCAUUGCUUUUUUUAAUGCACUUUUCGUUUAACAAGUCAACAUCAGUUUCUUUUGUUGUAAAAAGGUCAUUGGAAGGUGGCUUUCUCUUCGGAGAAAGUGUUUAUAGCCUUUGAUCUCCUGCAAUCGGAGAGACUGAGGUCUGCAGCGUAGAUCCUUCGGGGUUAGAUACAUUUGUGCUAAGCUACAGCUUUUCAUAGACAACUUGUUGACUAUGUUUAGUCUUGUGACUUACCCGCUUAUGCUAUUUUACCUACGCUUAGGAUGUUGACGCGCGUGUGUGCGUG
RNAcentral lists this ribosomal RNA (1036 nucleotides) under uncultured Neocallimastigales. Its description in RNAcentral is "partial large subunit ribosomal RNA". The stretch from base 239 to 1036 matches the Rfam family "Eukaryotic large subunit ribosomal RNA", at positions 1 to 631 of the family's 3401-position model. Lineage: Eukaryota; Fungi; Neocallimastigomycota; Neocallimastigomycetes; Neocallimastigales. The record is from RNAcentral.